This 182-nucleotide ribosomal RNA is filed under the name Justicia pseudospicata. RNAcentral describes it as "5.8S ribosomal RNA". The stretch from base 1 to 152 matches the Rfam family "5.8S ribosomal RNA". From Rfam's summary of the family: 5.8S ribosomal RNA (5.8S rRNA) is a component of the large subunit of the eukaryotic ribosome. It is transcribed by RNA polymerase I as part of the 45S precursor that also contains 18S and 28S rRNA. Functionally, it is thought that 5.8S rRNA may be involved in ribosome translocation. The record is from RNAcentral. Lineage: Eukaryota; Viridiplantae; Streptophyta; Magnoliopsida; Lamiales; Acanthaceae.
CUCGGCAACGGAUAUCUCGGCUCUCGCAUCGAUGAAGAACGUAGCGAAAUGCGAUACUUGGUGUGAAUUGCAGAAUCCCGUGAACCAUCGAGUCUUUGAACGCAAGUUGCGCCCGAAGCCUUGGGGCCGAGGGUACGCCUGCCUGGGCGUCACGCAUCGCGUCGCCCCGUCCCCCCCCGCUC